CCAUUUCGUCUCUCCAAAACCCAUGCAGAUAAACCCACAUUCGCAACCAAAAUAAAAAAAAUCGAUUACUGGAUUCAAUCGGAAACUAAAUCCUAAUUCGUAAGAUAAUAUAAUACAAUUUUUAAUGCAAAUGCAAUUCAUAUGAAAUGGUAAUAUCAUCACCAUAAUACAUACAUCACAUAUACUUCAUAUCAACUAAAUCCUAAUUCGUAAGAGAAUGCCAUAUAAUUUUUAACCAUAUAGAAUUCAUACCAACUGAACCAUAAUUCUCAAGCAUAUAGAAUUCAUACCAACUGAAUCAUAAUUCUUAAGAGAAUGUCAUUUAAUUCUCAAAGAAUAUAUAAUUCAUAACAACUGAUCAUAAUUCUUAAGAGAAUGUAAUUUAAUUCUCAAAGAAUAUAUAAUUCAUAACAACUAAAUCAUAAUUCGUAAGAGAAUGCCAUAUAAUUUUUAAAGCCUAUAUAAUUCAUAACAAAUGACAAACAGACCCCACAUUCGUUUAAAGACACAAGGGGACAAUUAUAAAACACAAAUCUUUCAAAAAAACAACACAAGCAUGAAUCUUUGAAUCAAGCUUUCCAAAACCUCAAAAAAAUUGACAUAUUCCUCACUGUAAAUUUGAUUUUUUAAAGAAACCAAAAAAAAAAAAGAUAAAACAUAGCCUACAAUCGAACUCAAAGUUCACGAACCUUGCGUCGCCGUUGCAUUCCUCGUCCUCGCUAUUGCGCCGCCGUCGAUGAAAUCGGAUCCUCCAAUCGAAUCCUAGUUGUGCCGCCGUCUGUGAGUGCAAAAGAUCGAAGAGUGUUUUCUAUGAAUUGGAUUAGGUAGGUUAUAAUUAAAGAGAGAGAGAGAGAGAGUGAUACUACCGAAAAUAUCAGCAUCAAA
This 885-nucleotide long non-coding RNA is filed under the name Salvia miltiorrhiza (redroot sage). RNAcentral's name for it is "long non-coding RNA (SMIL_LNC000428)". The record is from RNAcentral. Lineage: Eukaryota; Viridiplantae; Streptophyta; Magnoliopsida; Lamiales; Lamiaceae.